UCCUGAGCGUUUCUUGGUUUCCUCUUGCGCAGUUCAACUUGUUGCGCGCGGGAGAGGCAAUGCAUAGGAAGGAACGGGAACUUGGCUCCAGAGUGUGUCAUCACCGAGGACCUCCAGGCCUAAGAAAGUUGAAGUGCGAAGCCUUGAAGCCAAUUGUGUGAAGCUCUACUUAUCCAAGAAUGCAUAUUAUAUAUUGUAAUAAUAGACAUAUCUGCUUUGUAAUAGAUUGGAAAAAUUGUAAUAUACUA
Hordeum vulgare subsp. vulgare (domesticated barley) is the source of this 248-nucleotide long non-coding RNA. RefSeq lists it as uncharacterized. The record is from RefSeq and is a predicted model, not a curated record. The transcript has 3 exons. NCBI's taxonomy places the organism in Eukaryota, Viridiplantae, Streptophyta, Magnoliopsida, Poales, Poaceae.